Molecule: small RNA, 31 nt
Filed under: Bombyx mori (domestic silkworm)
Lineage: Eukaryota; Metazoa; Arthropoda; Insecta; Lepidoptera; Bombycidae
Description: ovarian small RNA-27698
Source: RNAcentral
UCCUACCUAUGCUGACAGCCUUGAGAGGCUG